Molecule: ribosomal RNA, 367 nt
Filed under: uncultured organism
Description: bacterial LSU rRNA
Rfam family: Bacterial large subunit ribosomal RNA
Source: RNAcentral
CUUUACUGUAGCUUGGUAUUGGGUUCGGGCUUUGACUGCGCAGGAUAGGUGGGAGGCUUUGAAGUAGUCCUUGUGGGGAUUACGGAGCCAACGGUGAGAUACCACUCUGUCAGAGCUAGAAUUCUAACCUUUCGCCGUUAUCCGGCAGAGGGACAGUAUCAGGUGGGCAGUUUGACUGGGGCGGUCGCCUCCUAAAUGGUAACGGAGGCGCACAAAGGUUCUCUCAGGCUGGUUGGAAAUCAGCCGUAGAGUGUAAAGGCACAAGAGAGCUUGACUGCAAGAGGGACAACUCGAGCAGGGACGAAAGUCGGUCUUAGUGAUCCGACGGCACUGAGUGGAAGGGCCGUCGCUCAACGGAUAAAAGUUA